This 492-nucleotide ribosomal RNA is filed under the name uncultured bacterium. RNAcentral's name for it is "partial 16S ribosomal RNA". It matches the Rfam family "Bacterial small subunit ribosomal RNA", at positions 29 to 507 of the family's 1533-position model. The record is from RNAcentral.
AGUGACCGCUGGCGGUAGGCCUAACCCAUGCAAGUCGAACGGCAGCACAGUAAGCGCUUGCUCUUACGGGUGGCGAGUCGCGUCCGGGUGAGGAAUACAUCCGAAUCUACUUUUUCGUGGGGGAUCCCGUAGGUGAACUUACGCUAAUACCGCACCCGACCUCCGGGUGAAAUCAUGGGAUCUUCGGACCUUGCGCGAUUGAAUGCGCCGAUGUCGGGUUAGCUAGUUGGCGGGGUAACGGCCCACCAAGGCGACGACCCGUAGCUGGUCUGAGAGGAUGAUCAGCCACACUAGAACUGAGACACGGUCCAGACUCCUACGGGAGGCAGCAGUGGGGAAUAUUGGACAAUGGGCGCAAGCCUGAUCCAGCCAUACCGCGUGGGUGAAGAAGGCCUUCGGGUUGUAAAGCCCUUUUGUUGGGAAAGAAAAGCAGCAGGUUAAUACCCCGCUGUUCUGACGGUACCCAAAGAAGAAGCACCGGCUAACUUCGUG